UUUGCAUAAUCUAAAAAAUUCAUUCAAAUACAGAUAUUUUACUUGAUCGAUAAUUUUGGGCUACAAUCAGAAGCCCAAAAAUUGAGCCCAUUUAACAAUUAUUUUCUAUAUAGAUUUUGGUUAGGUUAAAAAAUAGGGGUGGUGAAUUUAUUUUUUAGAAUAGGGUUGUAAAAUUUACAGAUUUGAAUUCAAAAUGGGCUCUACUAUUCAUUAACUUUUCGGUCAUCACCAUCCCGGAUUCCGGCUAAGCUCCGGCAACUCUAAAACCCUCUUCUUUUUCCCCUUUUUCCGGUGAAAUGGUCACCGGAAACAACCCCAUUUCCCCUUUCCUCGUUUCCAGCAACUACCACCCAAAAACCCCACUCCAAAACAACCAUUUUUCCUUACCAGACCCACACAGCAGCAAACAACACACCAACAGACCCAAAACCAGCCAAACGAUCCCCACACUACCUAUUUUAUUCCUUUUCCAGAUCCACUGGCGAGCUCGAAGCUCGCCACCUCCAAACCACCCCGUUUCCCUCUCCCACCAGACCAAAACCCCCUUUAAGUCAAUCGCCACAGCCUCAUAAACCAGCAACCAAAGCUCCGAGCGGCCAUCCAAAACCCCGACCCAGACCAUCCCUUUUCAAUAAACUACAACAACCCAGUCGCUGCCAGUUCCCUUCCACGUCCCCUUUUACAUUUUCUUCUUUUUACAGGUAUUUUGGCUCAAAGUCGGUGAGCUCCGAUGAAAAAAUGAGUUCCCACCACUGCGAGCUUCAAGCUCCGCGAACAACCAGACACAACCAGCAAAACGCCAACCUCCGUAGCUCCGGCAAACAAGUAAUCCUCUAUGUUUUAUUUUUGUUGUAACUAUUUUACUUCGUUCAUUGCUUUUCCAGAUCUGGCCGGAGUUUGAUAAAGUUUGUCUUUUUCGAUUUGUUGUGUUGAUAUUAUACUGUGUUAUUUUGAUUUGAUUGUUUAUUCACAGCUUUUGUAUUGAUUUGCUGUUUGUUUACUCUUACAGUGGCUAUGCUUUGAAUUUUUUUUUAUUUAAAUUAAAUGUUUAAUGGUUAAAGAAUAUUUUCAAUUGUGAUUUCAUUCUCAACUUAUGGAUCUUUUAUUAGGAUAGUUACUUUCUCAUUAUUUUAUAUUGUUAAUUCGUUUUGACUUUAUUCAUUUGUUGACAUCGAGUUAUUUGUUUUAGUGUUAAUUUUGUUUUUAUUAUGAUUAUUUUAUUGAUUGUUCUUUUGUUCCGUAUGCUUAUCUUAUUUUUAAUUGUUGUCUAAUCUAUUAAUUUAAUAGUUUAAAUUAUAUUUGCUAUAUUUUGUUGGAUUUAAUAUUGUUAUUAAUAAUGGUGUUGCCUUCGGUAAAUUUUAUACUUUUCAUGUUACUGUUACUUUUUGUUAAUGUUAAGAUAAUAUUUUGUCAUUUUUUGUUAUUGUUAAUUGAUAUUGAAUAUAUUUUGUUUGUUCAAAAUGGCUAAUGAGAAAAUCUCUCUGUCGAGUUUGGAGGCCUUUACAUUGUAAAAGACGAAAAUUUAAUUUAAUUUCAUAUAUUUUGUUUGUUCAAAAUGGCCAAUGAGAAAAUCUCUCUGUCGAUUUUGGAGGCCUUUACAUUGUAAAAAACGAAAAUUUAGUUUAAUUUCAUAUAUUUUGUUUGUUCAAAAUGGCCAAUGAGAAAAUCUCUCUGUCGAUUUUGGAGGCCUUUACAUUGUAAAAAACGAAAAUUUAGUUUAAUUUCAUAUAUUUUGUUUGUUCAAAAUGGCCAAUGAGAAAAUCUCUCUGUCGAUUUUGGAGGCCUUUACAUUGUAAAAAACGAAAAUUUAGUUUAAUUUCAUAUAUUUUGUUUGUUCAAAAUGGCUGAUAAAGAAAUUACCGUCGAUUUCUAAGGUUUCCCAUGUUAAUAAGACGGUUUUUUAUUUUUAAAUUAAUUUUUGAUUCAUUUAUUUUUAUUCAUAACUAACACUUUUACUAAGUGUCUUUACAGGUACCCGGAGGUGCUUCCUAUUGAAGUUAUUCGAAUUAGGUUCGAAUUAUAUUCCUAUUUAUAUUGUAUAUUAUUGACGAUAGACAAAUUUAGGUCGAUUCCUAUAUUAUUGUUUUAUCAUAUUACUUGUGUAUAUUGCAUGUUUAUUAUAUUUGUACAUUAUUUUAUUUUCAUCCUCAAUUUGAAAAAAAUGAAUUCAGUCGAAACCCACAUUUGUGGAUUUCAAAGGAUGCCUAAUCCCUUCCCUUCGAAAUUACUUGAAUCCCUUAUCUAGAAUAUCUUGGUUUCGUAGAUUGAUUAAUUGGUUUCCUAAUUUUCCUAAAAUUAGACAGCAAUUCCUUUAAAAUUCUUAUUUUCUUAAAAUUCUUUUAAAAUUGAAUCAAUUGUUUAUUUUUUAGUCACCAUGACGUUUCGCCUUAUUUGAAUAGAGUAGGGAUGUAAACAGCCAAAUUCGAACUUUUGAAACAUUACAGUAGCGUUACCAGGGGUCGGAGCAACUUAUCUAAAAUACACGAUUAUUUGUCUUUCUACAUCACACUUUGUCCAAUGUCCAUUGUUCACUAUGCCACAAAAAAUAGGAAAAUCAUAAGGUAGAAAAUCAACACAGAGUAUAUCUUAAUCAUUAGCCACCGAUUUGACGAGAUGCUAUUGAGGUAUUUGAGCAGAGCCCCUUGUGCCCCUUCCACAUUUGUUAGUGCGUCAUCCACGUUCUCAUCAAUCCUGUGACAGAAACCAAGAUAUUACUUUACUGCUAAAAGAAUUUGCUACCCAUCCCCACCCUCACCCCAUUGUAUCUUGAUCAGAAGUCGUAACUAAGGACUAUAUUGUGACUUGUGAGUAUCAGUUUAAUAUCAACAAUCAGGUAGUACAAGGUUUUACACCUUACAGACAACAGGAGAAGCACCAAACUUUAAGUGGAAGGCACCAUUUUACAAGAUUCUAAAUACAGAUAGCUCAAAGUACAAAAAACUUCCAUCAACUGUCAGAUUUUUCUCUAACCAAUAUGGGGAUAAAGCAGUAAACCUUACUUGUUGAUUGCACAAACAUCAUAUAUGAAGAACAUUUAUAACAUCUCACGCAAAUUUGACUUCAAAUAUUAUCAAUUAUGUACAAAAGAUUUACUUGUAAAUGAAAAGAAGUGUGCCAAGGCCAAGAAUUAAACUACAUGUCACAAUAGAAAGAGGCGUUAAAUAAAAUGUGAUGGUGGGGUUCAUUGAGAGUACACACAUCACAUUUUAUGUUAACCACAAGUAGAUAUGCAUAUCAUGUUAAUGACCCUUGAGGAACUUCAAAAGCUCAAUUUAACAAAGAACUUACCAAUUAUUAUUUUUAAGAACUGAGAAGAAUUAGCCCGUUUCUUCCAACAUAAAUAUGAAUGAAAUAAUAUAAAAGACACUAGGUCUUCUAAUCCCUCUAACUAGCAGAUGGUGGAUGCAUGAUCCGAUCCCAUAUUGGAACGUUAAUGUUUCUCAGUCCAAAAGUUCAUGCAAAGGUUAAAAAAUUAACUUUUACCAUGCAAAAUAGGAUAUCAACAAGAGAAGACAUCAAAGUAUUGAUCAGAGUGAUCAUCCAAAACUAGUGAUUAGUUGAUAGAAAUUAACAAACAAAAUAUUCAUUACUUGCCAUCUCACAUAUUUAACUUUACGUCUUUACAACUAGGAGACUACAUUGGUGCCAACUGGUUGUACAAAGAUAACUAUGAAAAUACGAUGCAUUGAAAUCUCCUAAAUCCUUCUAUUAUCAUCACCAUUAUUAUUAUAAUUAUUAUAAUAAGAAUUAUUAUUAUUAUUAUUAUUAUCUUCAUCAUCAUCAUCGUCUCCUACAUCUGUUUAUUUUCUGAGUGCAAAAACAAUUGUUAUACAAACCUGACUGCAACCUCCCCUUGCUCAGAAACCAAGGUAGCAAGCUGAUUAAAAAUGCUGCCCAGCUCAUGGAUAGUAGACUCGGCAUUUUGAAAAGCUUCAGCUCUACUCUGCAUGUAGCUGUCUUGCAAUGGAACUAUCUGCUGCUGCUGCUG
This 3988-nucleotide long non-coding RNA is filed under the name Solanum tuberosum (potato). RNAcentral describes it as "long non-coding RNA (STUB_LNC008352)". The record is from RNAcentral. Lineage: Eukaryota; Viridiplantae; Streptophyta; Magnoliopsida; Solanales; Solanaceae.